This 45-nucleotide non-coding RNA is filed under the name Trichobilharzia regenti. Lineage: Eukaryota; Metazoa; Platyhelminthes; Trematoda; Strigeidida; Schistosomatidae. The record is from RNAcentral.
AGCCAGAUGACGAAUCCCAAAUAGGACGAAAUGCGCAUCCUGGAU